GUUCACUAUCACUAAAAUAAAGUUCACUGAACAGUUCAUCAACGAAGGGGAAGGGGUACGUUAAAGUAAAAUAUAUUUAGCAACUUAGAUAAUUUUGAAAGCUUUUAAGCUUUCUUUUAAAAAGAGAACGUUUUAUAUAUGUCCGUUGCGAUUUCUUCACUUCUAACUACAAAGUUUUAAAUAAAUUCGAAGUUGUUGACAAUCACUAUGAGACUUACUACGGUACAAUCACUACUUGACGGGAGUGCGAACGUAUAGGAAUGAUCAAAUAAAGAGUUCUAUAUAAAACCCGCGGCUACAAUUCUUUGAGGUAAGACAUUCUAUAUUUAGCACCUUUUGGGUUGUUGAUGUUUGAAUAUUCUUAGGCGGGAUUUUCUCUGAGAGACAAAAUGGCGGCCGUUCAGUGCUUCGAAGUACGUCACUUCAAAGUCGAAAUUCUAUAGGAAAGCUACCAAC
Molecule: non-coding RNA, 456 nt
Organism: Paramuricea clavata
Lineage: Eukaryota; Metazoa; Cnidaria; Anthozoa; Malacalcyonacea; Plexauridae
Source: the annotation of a GenBank genome assembly